This 441-nucleotide ribosomal RNA is filed under the name uncultured bacterium. Its description in RNAcentral is "partial 16S ribosomal RNA". It matches the Rfam family "Bacterial small subunit ribosomal RNA", at positions 338 to 795 of the family's 1533-position model. The record is from RNAcentral.
CCUACGGGAGGCAGCAGUGGGGAAUAUUGCACAAUGGGGGGAACCCUGAUGCAGCGACGCCGCGUGGGUGAAGGAGUAUUUCGGUAUGUAAAGCCCUAUCAGCAGGGAAGAACAAUGACGGUACCUGACUAAGAAGCACCGGCUAAAUACGUGCCAGCAGCCGCGGUAAUACGUAUGGUGCAAGCGUUAUCCGGAUUUACUGGGUGUAAAGGGAGCGCAGGCGGCGCGUUAAGCCUGGUGUGAAAGUCCGCGGCCCAACCGCGGGACUGCAUUGGGAACUGGCGCGCUGGAGUGCCGGAGGGGUAGGCGGAAGUCCUAGUGUAGCGGUGAAAUGCGUAGAUAUUAGGAGGAACACCAGUGGCGAAGGCGGCCUACUGGACGGUGACUGACGCUGAGGCUCGAAAGCGUGGGGAGCAAACAGGAUUAGAUACCCCAGUAGUC